UACGAAGGGUGCAAGCGUUAAUCGGAACUACUGGGCGUAAAGCGUGCGUAGGCGGUUUGUUAAGUCUGUUGUGAAAUCCCCGGGCUCAACCUGGGAAUGGCAAUGGAUACUGGCAAGCUAGAGUGUGUCAGAGGAUGGUGGAAUUCCCGGUGUAGCGGUGAAAUGCGUAGAGAUCGGGAGGAACAUCAGUGGCGAAGGCGGCCAUCUGGGACAACACUGACGCUGAGGCACGAAAGCGUGGGGAGCAAACAGG
RNAcentral lists this ribosomal RNA (253 nucleotides) under uncultured bacterium. RNAcentral describes it as "partial 16S ribosomal RNA". It matches the Rfam family "Bacterial small subunit ribosomal RNA", at positions 524 to 776 of the family's 1533-position model. The record is from RNAcentral.